AACGAACGCUGGAGGCAUGCCUAACACAUGCGAGUCGAACGAGACCUUCGGGUCUAGUGGCGCACGGGUGCGUAACGCGUGGGAACCUGCCCUUAGGUUCGGAAUAACUCCCCGAAAGGGGUGCUAAUACCGGAUAAUGUCUUCGGACCAAAGAUUUAUCGCCUUUGGAUGGGCCCGCGUUGGAUUAGCUAGUUGGUAGGGUAAAAGCCUACCAAGGCGACGAUCCAUAGCUGGUCUGAGAGGAUGAUCAGCCACACUGGGACUGAGACACGGCCCAGACUCCUACGGGAGGCAGCAGUGGGGAAUAUUGGACAAUGGGCGAAAGCCUGAUCCAGCAAUGCCGCGUGAGUGAUGAAGGCCUUAGGGUUGUAAAGCUCUUUUACCCGGGAUGAUAAUGACAGUACCGGGAGAAUAAGCUCCGGCUAACUCCGUG
Molecule: ribosomal RNA, 433 nt
Filed under: uncultured bacterium
Lineage: Bacteria
Description: partial 16S ribosomal RNA
Rfam family: Bacterial small subunit ribosomal RNA
Source: RNAcentral